UCAAAUGGAAGUAUUACAUUUCAGAAGAUUAAUAGAAGGAUUUUUGAAAUCUCUACAUUUAAACUGGAGAUGUAGUUUUCCACUGAGUUCUGGUCAUCCUGAAAAAAAUCUACUAUAGGAGAUUAUGCAAUAAUAGAUGUCAUUGGAGGGAUAAUAUUUGUACGGAAUAAGAGUAUAACUCUGAGUACAAACUCUCACCAGUACUUGCAGAGACUUUGAAUUUGACCGAAUAGAAGUAAGCAACAAUAUAGUAUAGUGAUCUUAAUGGGAGGAGAAUAUUUCUUCUACCUAUUUUCAUAUUUCCAGUAGCAUUGAGAACAUAAAGAUGUGUUUCAAGCUUGAGGGAGCUUUAUUUAGCAGAGAAGCUUUCAUUUCCGGCAUUAGUUUGUUUCCUCAAGGAGCACCAUUUGGCGUAUUUUAUAUUCUCGCUUAAACAACCGAAAUUCAUGUUCUUCCCCACAACGCAAAAUACAGUAAAUGUACCUGGGGAAUAAGAAUAACGGGACUUGAAAUAUACCCUCAUUAUUUGAAUUUAUCACUCCCCUUAAGAUAAAGAUGGGUGUUUCAUAUAUGACUCGUGAAUCUUUAAAGAAGCAAAUUGUCUCGAAUUAGAUCGAAAUUCUAAAACCAAAGAAACAUGAAUCACAACGGAUAUGGUACGAGAGAGGGGACCGACCAAUUCAGUAGAGGAAACGUAGAUAGAAGCACAACCAAUCCAAAUAUCAAGUUGAUGUGUCUUCGUCACAACAAUCCAAUCAAAACUAUUGUAGAGAGCCAAUUCAGCGGAGGAAACCUAAAGAGAAGCAGAGCCAAUCCAAAUAUCAAGUUGAUGUCAAUCUUCAUUACCCUAAUUAAAUCAAAGCUGAUGUACUGAGCCAAUUCAGAGAAUUAGACCUAGACAAAACCAGAGCCAAUCCAAAUAUGCCACAGUUGGUCGUACGAAUACGGCAACGACGAUGCGGUUGUGCGGAAGUGUGUGGUGAUGAUGAGACCAUAAUUGAGGAUUGUAAUUGGUGAUCCCAUCACCUGUUCAAUGAUUGUGAGGGGACUUCAAUUGCUUGAGAAGAAGAAGAAUUCGGGUAUGUUUGUUUUUGCGCAAAGCUCAGAAGCAUAAGGGAUGGAAAGUUGCCCGGGAGGAUGGUAAUUGAUCCCUUCGCCUUGAUGAUGCCAUAUCAUGUUCAAUGAUUGUUUGGGAAUUUCAAUUGCAGGGGAAGAAGAAGGUUUCAUGACACUUUUUUUGCACAGAACUCAGAAGCAUAGGGGAUGCGAAGUUGUUCGGAAGAAAGAGGGAGGGGUAAGAAAUAAAGAAUCAAAGAUAUGCUUGAUUUGAGGAUUUCAAUAGCUGACAUGGUAGAUACAUGAGCAUGAAAAUAAAUAUAUAUAAUUGUUAGAUUAGUCAAGAACUCUUGUACUAAGAACACCUAUUCUCAUGUGAAGGUAAAUUCUAGUUUAAGAUAAAAAAA
RNAcentral lists this long non-coding RNA (1463 nucleotides) under Linum usitatissimum (flax). Its description in RNAcentral is "long non-coding RNA (LUSI_LNC005993)". Lineage: Eukaryota; Viridiplantae; Streptophyta; Magnoliopsida; Malpighiales; Linaceae. The record is from RNAcentral.